Molecule: long non-coding RNA, 180 nt
Organism: Medicago truncatula (barrel medic)
Lineage: Eukaryota; Viridiplantae; Streptophyta; Magnoliopsida; Fabales; Fabaceae
Exons: 3
Source: RefSeq, a predicted model, not a curated record
UCUUCCGAGGCUAAUUCAUGAGAUGACAACGAAGGCUAUAGGAGUGCAACCUUCUCGAGCUGAAAUUUAUAUUGAAACCCGAACUCGAAAAGACGGGAGCAUUGUGACUGAAAAGGCAGCUUCAACAAUUGAGGAGUUAAAGAAGCAUAUGGCAGAGGUAGAAAAUUCAGAAAAUUUUCA